AUAUGGUGAUAAUGGUCCCGAUC
RNAcentral lists this non-coding RNA (23 nucleotides) under Rattus norvegicus (Norway rat). The record is from RNAcentral. Lineage: Eukaryota; Metazoa; Chordata; Mammalia; Rodentia; Muridae.